AAAGGGACCUAUGAAAAAAUCAACAUGUCCAUUCCAACUAUGCCAAACGCCAAUGAACAGACAGAUGAUGUGACCUAUUCUGAGGUUACCGCUUCCAGUAAAAAACAAGUACAAGUGGACAAUAAUCAUUCUAAUGAUACAGUGACAUACGCUACCAUCAGAGGAACAGAAUAUGCACCUCAAGAUGGGCUUUACGCCUCUGUGAACAA
Sinocyclocheilus anshuiensis is the source of this 209-nucleotide long non-coding RNA. RefSeq lists it as uncharacterized. The record is from RefSeq and is a predicted model, not a curated record. NCBI's taxonomy places the organism in Eukaryota, Metazoa, Chordata, Actinopteri, Cypriniformes, Cyprinidae. The transcript has 3 exons.